This 59-nucleotide transfer RNA is filed under the name Verrucomicrobiota bacterium. RNAcentral's name for it is "Verrucomicrobia bacterium (freshwater metagenome) tRNA-Val". It matches the Rfam family "tRNA", at positions 7 to 64 of the family's 71-position model. Rfam says of the family: Transfer RNA (tRNA) molecules are approximately 80 nucleotides in length. Their secondary structure includes four short double-helical elements and three loops (D, anti-codon, and T loops). The record is from RNAcentral. Lineage: Bacteria; Pseudomonadati; Verrucomicrobiota.
UUAGCUUAGUGGUAGAGCGCCACCUUGACACGGUGGAGGUCAGAGGUUCAAGUCCUCUA